GAUGAACGCUAGCUACAGGCUUAACACAUGCAAGUCGAGGGGUAGCAGGGUAGCAAUACCGCUGACGACCGGCGCACGGGUGAGUAACACGUAUCCAACCUUCCCAUAACUCGGGGAUAGCCUUCCGAAAGAAAGAUUAAUACCCGAUAGUACUUUUUCAAGGCAUCUUGAGAAAGUUAAAGAUUUAUUGGUUAUGGAUGGGGAUGCGUUCCAUUAGAUAGUUGGUGAGGUAACGGCUCACCAAGUCUUCGAUGGAUAGGGGUUCUGAGAGGAAGGGCACCAACAUUGGUAAUGAGACACGGACCAAACUCCUACGGGAGGCAGCAGUGAGGAAUAUUUGUCAAUGGGCGAGAGCCUUAACCAGCCAAGUAGCGUGAAGGAUGAAGGUCCUAUGGAUUGUAAACUUCUUUUAUAGUAGAAUAAAGUGAUCCACGUGUGGAUUUUUGUAUGUAUACUAUGAAUAAGGAUCGGCUAACUACGUGCCAGCCGCCGCAGUAA
This 498-nucleotide ribosomal RNA is filed under the name uncultured bacterium. RNAcentral describes it as "partial 16S ribosomal RNA". It matches the Rfam family "Bacterial small subunit ribosomal RNA", at positions 28 to 523 of the family's 1533-position model. The record is from RNAcentral.